GUCCGGGUCGCCAAGUGCUUAAGGCAUCGAUCGGUCUGCAACACCGAUCAUCGUGGGUUAAAAUCCCACCCUGGACU
Molecule: transfer RNA, 77 nt
Filed under: Mastigocoleus testarum BC008
Lineage: Bacteria; Bacillati; Cyanobacteriota; Cyanophyceae; Nostocales; Hapalosiphonaceae
Rfam family: tRNA
About the family: Transfer RNA (tRNA) molecules are approximately 80 nucleotides in length. Their secondary structure includes four short double-helical elements and three loops (D, anti-codon, and T loops). Further hydrogen bonds mediate the characteristic L-shaped molecular structure. tRNAs have two regions of fundamental functional importance: the anti-codon, which is responsible for specific mRNA codon recognition, and the 3' end, to which the tRNAs corresponding amino acid is attached (by aminoacyl-tRNA synthetases). tRNAs cope with the degeneracy of the genetic code in two manners: having more than one tRNA (with a specific anti-codon) for a particular amino acid; and 'wobble' base-pairing, i.e. permitting non-standard base-pairing at the 3rd anti-codon position.
Source: Rfam by way of RNAcentral